Equus asinus (donkey) is the source of this 2166-nucleotide long non-coding RNA. The record is from Ensembl. Lineage: Eukaryota; Metazoa; Chordata; Mammalia; Perissodactyla; Equidae.
GUCAAUGAACAAGACCCAGACUCUGAGAUGGGCUGGAAAUUUAGGACACCACUCUGCAGGGUCCUAGCUCUGAAAACAUACGGAUGCUGGCUGGACCAGCUGGGUCACUUGCAGAUGCCCUAGGAUAAGGGCUUCUUCUCAAAUGGGAACAUUUGAAAUGGAGCUGCAGGUGGGCUCCAUAGUUCCGAUGCAGAGCCUGAUUGCAUUCCUAACAUGAUUCCUGCUGAAAGCUGCAAGCUGGGGGAGGGCACUCACCAGAAGUGUGACCCCUCAGCGAACCGCUGGUAGAUCAGACUCUGGAACCUCUCUGGGGAGGAGGGGAGUGUCUCUCACCGCUGUUGGCUUGUGUUCUGCCUUCCAGAUUAGCUGCAGUUUGCAACAAUGGACUGACAGCCUGACUCCACUUCCCUCACCUUCCUCUUGCUGCACACACCUUAAACUGCUCCUGGAAGCUUUCCCCUCUUUCUGAAGAAAAAUUCUUGUGCUGCCUUCACAAGCUGCUUGGAGCCACUUCAGAUUCAGACGAACUGCGGAGCCCACAUCACAUGUGACAGUGCAACUAUGAGACAGCAGGGGUGGACCAGCUCCCACACAGUGCCCACAGAACACCUCCACAUGCCAUUCACACUCAGCAGGCCGUGAACUCCUGCCGCUGAGAGAACUGUUUGGAACUGACCCCCUCAGGUAGUCCCUCUGAAAGCAAGGACUGAACUGAAUUGCUUGGACCAGACUGAGAACCCUGGAGCAGGAGGAACCAUGGUGGGAAGCCACGCUGGGGGCCCUGUUAGCCUGUACUGCCUGACCAAUGCACGUCCUGCUUGGGGUGCCUGAACAUUGUAAACAGUUUGUUUGCAGGGGACAUGUGUGCCCUUCUGUGCCCUCUGGGAUUGUACUUCUUGGGUGUGUGCCCUGACCGUCAUGACACUGCCUCAGCCCUGGAAGGCUUUGGGCCAGCUUCAUCCUGCUGGCCAGAGCUAUGCUGGGCCUGAAUUGAUGCCUCAGGCUGGGUUUUAAAAAAGGUUCAUAGAGAAACUUAUGGAGGAAGCCACCUGGCUUUCUAAGACAGAUCUUUGUGGCUAAUGGGAUGUAUUUUAACUGGCUAAGUCCAGGACCCCUACAGAGCAUAAUUGAGAUCAGUACUGCAGGUUGGCCUCACCCUGCUGUGUGGGGUCCUACUGAUAAUAAUUCUGUAAAGACAGCUUGGCCAAGGGCUGAGGGAGUGGAUUAUGCAGACAAGUUAACAUAGCAAGAGUGAAACUGCUAUCCAUAGAAUGGCCUGCAUGCCAGGUUAACCCUUGACUGACAUCUGAGAACUUUGAUUUGGGGAGUGUUCCUGCCCUUCCCUAAUUCAUAAGAGUGACUCAUUGUAGCUAGACUGUUUGUGCAAACAACGGGGUUUAUUUGUUGAACACCUGCUUUCUGUGUGUUUGGAAUUUUGGUACCUGCCAGGUAAAGGGUCCUAUGUGACCAGCCUCCAAUAAAAACCCGGAACUCUGAGUCCCAAAGGGCUUCCCUGGGCAGAAAUAUGGCACACAUGUUGCUGAAUUUUCAUUGCAAGGGAAAAGUGUGCUCUGUGUGACACUUCAUGGGAGGGAGAAAGAAAAAGAAAGCCUGCACAUGGAUUCCUCCAGACUCCACCUGUGUCUCUUCUCCUUAUGAUCUGGUUAUAUAUCCUUACUACAUCUUGGUAAUAAGUCUUAGCCCUGAACACAACUAUGUGCUGAAUCCCAUGAGAUCUUCUAGCAAAUCUCUGAAUAGAGUGGUGAUCUUAGGGGUCCCUCAUCACAGUCACCAAUGGAAAUCUCAGAUAUUUUCUUAUCACAUUAUAGAUAUUUGGAAAUUUCAAUUAUAUUGAUCACUGCUUUGAUAUUAAGGUAGAUAUGAGACCUGCCACUAGUUUGUUAUUUAAAGUGUUGAUAAAGAAGCCCACAUACUAUACAUUUUAAAAUAUUUUUAAAAUUGAACAUCUUUAAUAUAUUUUGACAUAAUUGAUUUCCUUUGUAAUCCUAAGUAUUUUACUUGCUGCAUUAUUUUGAGAGCUUCAUUCUGAGAAGAUAUCCAUAGGAUUCACCAGACUGCUGAAGGGGUCUGCACAAAAGACAGUUUGACUCCCUGCAGUGGGUUAUUACCCUGGACUAGAUGUAUAAUCACUAACAGGCAAUUUAU